AAGUCGUAACAAGGUUUCCGUAGGUGAACCUGCGGAAGGAUCAUUAACACGUAUCCAACGUUAAAAACACCCCUGUGCAGAUUUUGAGUCAGGGACUUCUGACGUGACGCGAAGAAUGGUAUUGAUACUCCAUCUGCGUGGGAUGACAUGCGACGUAGCAAAUCACUUGGCUCCCCAAGCAACCAUGUUUCUAAAAGCGGCUCAUGGAAGCGUAAGGAGACGCUGUAACGUUUUGCUGUAGGCCAACACGGCCGGCAAUCCAAGUGGUUGUACUUCGGUACCCUCACAUCGGCACACCACCGAUGAUAUGUCAAUUUCGCGAAUGGACUAAAAGCCUCGCACCAAAAACCGAACAACUGUUAACAAUGGAUAUCUUGGUUCUC
Molecule: unclassified non-coding RNA, 383 nt
Filed under: fungal sp.
Lineage: Eukaryota; Fungi
Description: partial internal transcribed spacer region
Rfam family: Eukaryotic small subunit ribosomal RNA (bases 1-46)
Source: RNAcentral